This 393-nucleotide ribosomal RNA is filed under the name uncultured bacterium. Its description in RNAcentral is "partial 16S ribosomal RNA". It matches the Rfam family "Bacterial small subunit ribosomal RNA", at positions 523 to 918 of the family's 1533-position model. The record is from RNAcentral.
AUACGGAGGAUGCGAGCGUUAUCCGGAUUUAUUGGGUUUAAAGGGAGCGUAGGUGGGAUAUUAAGUCAGCUGUGAAAGUUUGGGGCUCAACCUUAAAAUUGCAGUUGAUACUGGUUUCCUUGAGUACGGUACAGGUGGGCGGAAUUCGUGGUGUAGCGGUGAAAUGCUUAGAUAUCACGAAGAACUCCGAUCGCGAAGGCAGCUCACCGGGCCGGAACUGACACUGAUGCUCGAAAGUGCGGGUAUCAAACAGGAUUAGAUACCCUGGUAGUCCGCACAGUAAACGAUGAAUACUCGCUGUUUGCGAUACACAGUAAGCGGCCAAGCGAAAGCGUUAAGUAUUCCACCUGGGGAGUACGCCGGCAACGGUGAAACUCAAAGGAAUUGGCGGGG